CCCCUCUCAGGGUCGCACCUGGAGAGUUUCCAGUACCCUACCAGGCUUGGCUACGGGAGGGAGAGUCAAGCAGAGGCCUACCCAUUCCAUUCCUAGCUUGGCCAGUGGCUAGCGAGUAGAAGGUGAUCUGCUACAGGU
Molecule: small nucleolar RNA, 138 nt
Filed under: Ornithorhynchus anatinus (platypus)
Lineage: Eukaryota; Metazoa; Chordata; Mammalia; Monotremata; Ornithorhynchidae
Source: RNAcentral